Molecule: transfer RNA, 69 nt
Filed under: Maladera orientalis
Lineage: Eukaryota; Metazoa; Arthropoda; Insecta; Coleoptera; Scarabaeidae
Description: tRNA-Gln
Source: RNAcentral
UAUGGUUUAGUAUAGGAUGUACUUUAAUUUUUGAAAUUAAAAGUAAUGUUUUAAUCACAUUAACCAUAA